This 46-nucleotide non-coding RNA is filed under the name Trichobilharzia regenti. The record is from RNAcentral. Lineage: Eukaryota; Metazoa; Platyhelminthes; Trematoda; Strigeidida; Schistosomatidae.
GCAUUACUGAAGAGUCCCAAACUAGGACGAAACAGUUGUCCAGUAC